This 74-nucleotide transfer RNA is filed under the name Actinomyces naeslundii. Its description in RNAcentral is "tRNA-Gly". It matches the Rfam family "tRNA". Rfam says of the family: Transfer RNA (tRNA) molecules are approximately 80 nucleotides in length. Their secondary structure includes four short double-helical elements and three loops (D, anti-codon, and T loops). RNAcentral also lists the same sequence under 38 other names. Lineage: Bacteria; Bacillati; Actinomycetota; Actinomycetes; Actinomycetales; Actinomycetaceae. The record is from RNAcentral.
GCGGAUGUGGCUCAGUUGGUAGAGCAUCACCUUGCCAAGGUGAGGGUCGCGGGUUCGAGUCCCGUCAUCCGCUC